Molecule: ribosomal RNA, 494 nt
Filed under: uncultured bacterium
Lineage: Bacteria
Description: partial 16S ribosomal RNA
Rfam family: Bacterial small subunit ribosomal RNA
Source: RNAcentral
GACGAACGCUGGCGGCGUGCUUAACACAUGCAAGUCGAACGGUGAAGCGCCGUCCUUUUUGUUGGGUGUGGUUGAGUGGCGAACGGGUGAUUAACAGGUAAGUAACCUGCCCCCUUCUUCGGGAUAACCGCGUGAACGUGUGGCUAAUACGGGUUAUUCUUGGUCUGUCGCUUGAUGGGUCUUGGAAAGUUAUUGUUUCGGUUGGGCAUGGGCUCGCGGCCUAUCAGCUUGUUGGUGGGUUGAUGGCCUACCAAGGCGGUGACGGGUGGCCGGCCUGGGCGGGUGGCCGGUCAGACAGGGACACAGACCCGGGCCAGCCACGUGAGGGAGGCAGCAGGGGGGAUUAGUGAACGAUGGGCGCCAGACUGAUGCAGCGACGCCGCGUGAGGGAUGGCGGCCGUCGGGUUGUGAACCUCUUUCGCGAGUGAAGCAGGCCUGCCUCGUUUGUGGGUGGGUUGACGGUAGCUGGAUAAGAAGCGCCGGCUAACUACGUG